CCUUCUUCCUGAAACUGCCGUCUGAAAGCAAGUAAUGCAGUGAACACAAGCACGAUGGGGACAAGCACAGCUUGGGGGGUGGGAAUUACCAACUACUUGUAAUGGUUUGUUUUAAGUCCCUUAAAACAAGUGCAGAGAAGCAGGCAGUCACAAGAACUAGGUUUGUCAGAUUUCCAGUAAGAACCUGAAGAAUGUGGACUAGGACACACAGCAAGGAUGACCACUGAUUCAUGCCCCUUUGCACAUCCAUGGCUAUCAGGGCUGCUAAAACACCUGUAGUAUUUGCUGCUACUAGAACCCUAUUUGAACCCACUGCUGGUCUGCGCGGAGGCAGUGAAGGAGGAGAUGCAAACCAGCUCUUGUUCGGAGCGUGAAGCUCAGAUAAAGCAGAACUGGACGAAGAUGGGUGGUAUCUGGCAUUUCCAUUCAUGCCACUGUCUUUCUGAUGACAGCAUCUGUGCCCAGUGACAGCUGAAGUCAGCGAUUCUUAACCAGAGUGCUGCAGCACCCUGGGUGCCUUGAGAUGGACACUUCCAAGGUUGCCACGGGGUGCCACAACAUGGUAGUGCUGUUAGGUGUGCAAAUAUGGUUCACAAGAUAAACUCAGCGAUUCCAAACACAAUAUCAAAGGAUGUUAUAAAUUAAUCUGACCCGCUGUGGUAUUUCCAAGGUCUUUGCAACAUAAGAUUCACUCUAUUUUUCUGUAGUCAGAAAACAAGUGAAAACUAAGAGCCAGCAUUUUCUGAGGGGUAGGGGGAAAGGCUUUUGUCUAAAAAGGUUGAGAAGCACUGGUUUAAAUGACUGCAUCCAUUUUGCAGCCUUGCAAGGUCUGCACAGAGCUGCUGGAAGCAUCAGAGGUUAUUUGACAACCAGAAAUAAACUUGGGUUUAAACUCCCCA
This is a long non-coding RNA of Gavialis gangeticus (Gharial), 899 nucleotides long. RefSeq lists it as uncharacterized. The record is from RefSeq and is a predicted model, not a curated record. The transcript is spliced from 2 exons. NCBI's taxonomy places the organism in Eukaryota, Metazoa, Chordata, Crocodylia, Gavialidae.